GAAAUUCUCAAUCUUAUUAAUAAUAAUAAUUGUGAUAAUCUUAAUCCACGAUGCAUCAGUAAUAAUAAUUGAUUCAGUAACAUGACAAGCAAUGUUAGUUUUUUCUCACUGUUUUCAUAUCCAUCGGUUUCUCAUUGAAUAUUCUUGGAUGUAUUUUGGAUUGAGCCAUAACAAUUGGAUUGUCAACCUCAAUGAGCAUUUCAAAUGAUAAGCUCAACUAAAUGGUUAUCAAUUUUGAUCAAUUGGUAAAAAGCAGUCGGAUAAAAAACGAUUAUGAACAGUUAAGUCUUUCUCUGGAGGAUAAAAAGGCAAAAGUUAAGCUUAACUUAAGGCAAACUGGAGAGAUAUUAAACUAUCUGGAAACCAUUUUCAGAAACAAACCUUUUCUCAAGACCGUGCAGCUGAUGAUCUGAAAACACCGUUCUGGCUUUCCUCCGCCGAUGAGAGGCAACAUGAGUUGCUGCUUCCGAGGCAGCUCUCUGCAUAUGAUGCAGUAUUAAAUCAUGAUGGUGACUUUAUGAUAAACAAUUUUAGAUCAAGAUUCAGGAUUUUAGGAUCAUUAAUGGAUAAAAGAUUAAAAGAUUGACAAAAAUUUGGAUCGAGACUUACCUUGCUGAAUAGGCUGCAAAAGAGGGAUGAAGUAAAGCAGCAGCGGCAGCGGCAGCAGCUAAACUUGAUGGAUCAUUUGAAUUGUUUGAUAAAAUUGUUUGAUUGUUACCAUUGAUUGGAUGGAAUGAGCAAUGAUAACCAUUGGAUGAAUAAGAAUUCAAUGGAUUUCCAGUUGAAGGAGAAUGAUGGUGAUGAUAAUAUGAAUCCCUGAUUUCUUUGAUAUCCUGACUUGUUUCCAAUGUUUUCCUUUGAUCAAACACAAAUCACGAAAACAAAAGAAGAAAGAAACAUUUAAAUUAAUUCAUUUCUGCAAAUCAAACUGGAAUUGUUGGACAAAAAGCAAAGAUUGGAAAAAUUAUUUAAAGAAAAAUCUAAUUACUCAGAAAGAAUAUCCUUAAUGAAGAAAGACGAGUUUGGAGCCACAAUCAAAGAGUUUGAACAAUUAUCACCUAAUUUAGACAUAAUUGGAUCCAUGAUGCACAUCAAUUGAACUUUAUUUUUGUCAAUCAUAUGUUGGUUAACAAAGCAUAAAAAACUUGAAGACGUAACGAGUCAAUCAAGUGCAAACUAUUAGUUCAACCUGAAUCGCAAUCAAUAAUGCAAGUUGGAUAUGAGAAACAUUUUUAUCAACAUUAACAUCACCUCCCAGUUAUCAUCAUCAUCAUUUCAUUUUUUUCACUCCCUGAAUCCAAUUUCCACUCUCUUGUUUACCUGUUAUUUAAACUCAUGGUCUUUGUCCAAAAGAAGAAGAAGGAAGAAGAUAGAGAAAGAAAGAGAAGCCAAAAGAGCAAAUACUUUUACUAUUGCGAUUAUUAUUAUCAUCUUUCAGCAUCCAUGUUACCUUAGUAACCUUUAGCAUCUUUAGCAUCUUCACGCCCAUAGCCUUGUAUUUGAUAUUUUUACUGGUUUAUCAUUUAUCAAGCUCCACCUUGGCUCUUUCUUGUUCCUCUUUCUUUCUCCUUUUCUCCUCAUCUUCACCUCAUCAUUUUCAUCAUCCAACAUCUCACUCUCUAUACAAUAACAUGCUGAUUAAAAUAACAUCAGCUUUGUUUUGUUUUUUUCCUAUUAUUAACUCACUUCUUUUUGUAAAGUUUGUCUCUUUUUUUACUUUAAUUCACUUAAGACUUUUGGAUGAUGAUGAAAACGAUGAGAAUGAUGAUGAUAAUGUUACACGUUAAUGAGCUGAAUGUAUAGUGUUAACAAGUAUUAGUAAUGAAAUUGAAUGUAAAAGUGUAACAAUUGUCAUUCAAUUUGAUUCACUUUUCUUACAACCUUUACCUUUCAUUUUACAAGUUUGAUUGUUUGCUUGUUAACUAUUGAUUGUUGUGUUUUGAUCGAUCAUCAAUGUAAUUGAGUGAACCAAAUGAAUUGCGUCUUCUAAUCAACCUGAUACUUGCCAUUUCCACGAGUCAAUUUGAAGUUUCACCUCGUCAGCUUGAAGUAUUCAUGUUGAUUCAAUUGAUGAUUAA
Non-coding RNA from Tetranychus urticae (two-spotted spider mite), 2078 nucleotides. Lineage: Eukaryota; Metazoa; Arthropoda; Arachnida; Trombidiformes; Tetranychidae. The record is from RefSeq and is a predicted model, not a curated record.